RNAcentral lists this ribosomal RNA (554 nucleotides) under Serratia plymuthica. RNAcentral describes it as "bacterial SSU rRNA". It matches the Rfam family "Bacterial small subunit ribosomal RNA", at positions 295 to 841 of the family's 1533-position model. The record is from RNAcentral. Lineage: Bacteria; Pseudomonadati; Pseudomonadota; Gammaproteobacteria; Enterobacterales; Yersiniaceae.
AGAGGAUGACCAGCCACACUGGAACUGAGACACGGUCCAGACUCCUACGGGAGGCAGCAGUGGGGAAUAUUGCACAAUGGGCGCAAGCCUGAUGCAGCCAUGCCGCGUGUGUGAAGAAGGCCUAAGGGUUGUAAAGMACYUUCAGCGAGGAGGAAGGGUAGUGUGUUAAUAGCACAUUGCAUUGACGUUACKCKCAGAAGAAGCACCGGCUAACYCCGUGCCAGCAGCCGCGGUAAUACGGAGGGURCAAGCGUUAAUCGGAAUUACUGGGCGUAAAGCGCACGCAGGCGGUUWGUUAAGUCAGAUGUGAAAUCCCCGCGCUUAACGUGGGAACUGCAUUUGAAACUGGCAAGCUAGAGUCUUGUAGAGGGGGGUAGAAUUCCAGGUGUAGCGGUGAAAUGCGUAGAGAUCUGGAGGAAUACCGGUGGCGAAGGCGGCCCCCUGGACAAAGACUGACGCUCAGGUGCGAAAGCGUGGGGAGCAAACAGGAUAAGAUACCCUGGUAGUCCACGCUGUAAACGAUGUCGAUUUGGAGGUUGUGCCCUUGAGGCGUG